RNAcentral lists this ribosomal RNA (230 nucleotides) under uncultured bacterium. RNAcentral describes it as "partial 16S ribosomal RNA". It matches the Rfam family "Bacterial small subunit ribosomal RNA", at positions 562 to 791 of the family's 1533-position model. The record is from RNAcentral.
AAAGCGCGCGUAGGUGGUUUGUUAAGUUGGAUGUGAAAUCCCCGGGCUCAACCUGGGAACUGCAUCCAAAACUGGCAAGCUAGAGUAUGGUAGAGGGUGGUGGAAUUUCCUGUGUAGCGGUGAAAUGCGUAGAUAUAGGAAGGAACACCAGUGGCGAAGGCGACCACCUGGACUGAUACUGACACUGAGGUGCGAAAGCGUGGGGAGCAAACAGGAUUAGAUACUCGGGU